GCCAGGUGUGUUGGCGCGCACCUGUAAUCCCAGCUACUCUGGAGGCUGAGGCAGGAGAAUUGCUCGAACCCGGGAGGUGGAGGUUGUAGUGAGCCCAGAUCAUGCCACUACACUCCAGCCUGGGUGACAGAGUGAGACUCUGUCUCAA
This 148-nucleotide non-coding RNA is filed under the name Pan troglodytes (chimpanzee). The record is from Rfam by way of RNAcentral. Lineage: Eukaryota; Metazoa; Chordata; Mammalia; Primates; Hominidae.